ACAGCAGUCGCCGCGGGAAUACGAAGGGUGCAAGCGUUACUCGGAAUUACUGGGCGUAAAGCGUGCGUAGGUGGUGGUUUAAGUCCGUUGUGAAAGCCCUGGGCUCAACCUGGGAAUUGCAGUGGAUACUGGGUCACUAGAGUGUGGUAGAGGAUAGUGGAAUUUCCGGUGUAACAGUGAAAUGCGUAGAGAUCGGAAGGAACAUCUGUGGCGAAGGCGACUAUCUGGGCCAACACUGACACUGAGGCACGAAAGCGUGGGGAGCAAACAGGAUUAGAGACCCGAGUAGUCCCUGUCUCUUAUAC
Molecule: ribosomal RNA, 305 nt
Filed under: uncultured bacterium
Lineage: Bacteria
Description: partial 16S ribosomal RNA
Rfam family: Bacterial small subunit ribosomal RNA
Source: RNAcentral